CUCCAGACUCCUACGGGAGGCAGCAGUGGGGAAUAUUGCACAAUGGGGGAAACCCUGAUGCAGCGACGCCGCGUGAGUGAAGAAGUAUUUCGGUAUGUAAAGCUCUAUCAGCAGGGAAGAAAAUGACGGUACCUGAUUAAGAAGCCCCGGCUAACUACGUGCCAGCAGCCGCGGUAAUACGUAGGGGGCAAGCGUUAUCCGGAUUUACUGGGUGUAAAGGGAGCGUAGACGGCUGUGCAAGCCAGAUGUGAAAGCCCGGGGCUCAACCCCGGGACUGCAUUUGGAACUGUGUGGCUGGAGUGUCGGAGAGGCAGGCGGAAUUCCUAGUGUAGCGGUGAAAUGCGUAGAUAUUAGGAGGAACACCAGUGGCGAAGGCGGCCUGCUGGACGAUGACUGACGUUGAGGCUCGAAAGCGUGGGGAGCAAACAGGAUUAGAUACCCCUGUACCU
Molecule: ribosomal RNA, 449 nt
Filed under: uncultured bacterium
Lineage: Bacteria
Description: bacterial SSU rRNA
Rfam family: Bacterial small subunit ribosomal RNA
Source: RNAcentral